AUGCCGCGACCGAAGAAGAGGGCGACGAUAGCCAAACGUCUUUAUGCUCAGAGAUGUGCAAAUACAGAGGUUACGCUGAAUCCUCUUAAAAAAAAUGAUGCAUUGUUGUCACCAAAAGCUGGCAGCAUUGAAAACCCUUGCAAACUCGCAUCAGUAAAUGCAUCAGUAAACCUUGCAAACUUGCAUCUGUCACCUAAGCAAACCCUUGAAAACCCUUGCAAACCCUUGAAAACCCUUGAAAACCCUUGCAAACCCUUGAAAACCCUUGAAAACCCUUGCAAACCCUUGAAAACCCUUGAAAACCCUUGCAAACCUUUGAAAACCCUUGAAAACCCUUGCAAACCCUUGAAAACCCUUGAAAACCCUUGCAAACCCUUGAAAACCCUUGAAAACUCAGAAAAAAAAGAAAAAGUGCUUACAAAUAUACAUGAAAUUUCUGUGAAUACUUUACCUGCAUAUUGUGAUUUUCCACAGCAAUCAGUGCAGAAAGGUUCUCUUGGUCAAGCAGUUGGCAGCAGUUUUCCACGGUCUUCCGGUAAAGCCCUUUACAGUGAAGUUGUAAAACGCCCUUCCAAGGUAUGUGAAUCAGUCAAGACUGAGGUAAGGACAUGUGAUUUUCAAGUAGACUCAGGCAAGCUCGGUCGACCCCAGAUGAGGUACCCAAUGAAAAGCAAAUCAAAACCCAUGCAAUCUGAACAAAACAUUCCUGCAAUUUGCCAUGAAAGUGCUUUGGGUGUUUGUUCUGAUUUUCCCCAGAAAUCCAUGCUAAGAGGAUCUUUUGAUCAAGCUGAUGCCCGCUUUGGAGAUUCACGCAACAGGCAGUGUGGAGCAAUCAGUCUGACGGCGGUGUUGAAAAGCAAGCUGAAGAAUGUGCUGACGUGGUCAACACCAGAUCUGGACGGUGUCUUGGUUGCAGGAACACGCCUCUAUGAGUAUCUGAGAAAACGGGGUAACAUAAAAGACCGGGAAGCGAAGGGUAGGAAUUAUAUUGCAGUCCAUGAAUUACCAAGGCGACAUGUGUUGGGUAAUACUACAUUUUCCAUCGAGUACACUCCAUCUCUGACUGGUUUUGUUAAUGUCAAUGAGUACCACGAGUAUGACCAAGCCAUAAGCAGUGUAGCCAUGCCACUUGAUGUAGCCCUUCAGCAAACUCUACUUAGUGCUGAUGCUUUCUUGUUAACCAUUUGUGCCAACACAUCUGCAGUUAUUAAGCAGGGGUCAUGGUAUGCAGUCGUUGACUCUCAUGCCAUCAGGACAGACACAAGUUGUGUAGUUUAUCACAGUACCAUAGAGUCUCUGUACAACUAUAUCAAUGACAUGGCACAGUUGUUUGGGGAACCUGAGCCACCAUUUGAGAUAACUGGAGUUUUGGUUCAUGCAGAUGCAGAAGUGUCUGAUCCGCUGCAAGAAGCAGGCAGCAGCAGUUUACCAUGCUCUUCCGGUAAAGCCCUCUACAGUGACGUCUUAAAACGCACACCAAAGGUACGUGAAUCUGUGAAGACUGAGCCAAAGACCCCUGAUUAUCCGGUACCUGUGGAUGAAGCUGCAGAUGUGAGAAACCCUAACCUUCCAACACAGACAGCCUCUAAUGUGUUGCCAAGUAAAGGUAAAAGAUUGAGGAAAGAAAAGCACAUUGAGCUGUCAGGUAAACAAGGUACAAAAUCACACACUGAAACCGUUGUAACCGAUGACCUGAUGAUCACUGAUGUUUCUGUUCCAGAUGUCUUUUUUUCUCCUUUAACAUAUAAUGACAAGCAAGCUUUAUGUGAGCUCAUACAAAUGUCCAAUGAUAACAGUGAUCAUAAUGUCAUAAACUUUGGUCCCAUUUCAGGUCCGUGUCAGACAAAGACCAUUAAACCAGAUGGUAACUGCUUUUUCAGAUCGUUGGCACAUGUGAUAUGUGGAAGUGAGGAGAAACACUUGAAGGUUCGCCGUGCAGUUGUGAAACAUCUGAAGAUGAAUACUCCGCUGUUUGAGAGGUACGUGAGAAGUGAGUAUUCUUCAGCAGAGGAUUAUCUGACACAAUCUAGAAUGUUUUAUUCUGGCUCAUGGGUAACCGAAAUUGACAUAUUUGUUGCGGCCGAUCUUUUCAAAACCACCAUAAUGACUUUUAAUGACGGCCGAUGGAAUGCGCACAAACCUACAGGAGAGGUAUCCACUCAGAAUGCAAUCUAUCUGAAACACUGUAACCGUAAUCAUUAUGAAGUCGUGACAUGUGUUAAGCACAGGGAUCGAGAUGCUGUUUGUGCAGGAGCAUGUGGAAAUGUGGUGUCAAAUGAGGUCAGCAAACCAUGUCUGCGUAAGAGAAAGGUAAGCGACGCUGCAGAAUGUUGUCCCACCAAAAGGCAUCGGGAGAGAUAUCGCAAUGUCAGUGAGUACAGACAAAAACAAUUGAAGUACAAGAAGUCAAAGUAUGGUAACGACCCAGAAUACAGACAGAACAAAAUUGAGCAUGCCAAAGCUAAAUAUUGUGAUGAUGCCAUUUACAGGGGGAAAAAAAUUGAAUAUGCCAAAACAAAAUAUUCUGACUCAGUUUACAGGGGGGAAAAAAUUGAAUAUGCCAAAACAAAAUAUUCUGAUGACACAGUUUACAGGGGAAAAAAAAUUGAAUAUGACAAAACUAAAUAUAGUACAGAUAGAUAUUACAGAGAGAAAAAAAAGGGAAUUCUUUGUGACCAAUAUCUAAAAAAUGUUGAUGUUCGUAAAUCAAAGUGUGAGCGUUCUAAGGCCAAGUACUUGAGCAAUUUUCAGUUCCAAAAACGUGUUUGCCAGUAUUCUCGAUUGAAAUAUAAAUAUAAUGUCUCUUUUCAGGCAAAUGUAUGUGAGUAUUCAAAGAAAAAAUAUCUGCAAAACCUGGCCUUCAAAGCAAGAGUGUGUGAGUAUUCAAAGAGUAGAAACAUUCAGUAUCCAGCCUUCAAAGUUAAAAUGGCUAAGUAUUCCAAAAUGAAAUACCAUAAAGAUCUGACCUUUCGUGUGAGUAAAAUACAAAAAGGUUGUGAAAGGUAUGCAAGAAAGAAGGAACAACAAGACAUUGAUGUUGCUAUUGAUCAUUUUAGACAAGACAUUAGUAGUGGUCCAGAGUUUGUGUGCUGUGUCUGUCACCGUUUACUUUUCAGAAAGCAGGUUGUUGAAUGUAGAAGACAAUGCUAUGAAGACAAAGGUGUUAAAGUUGCUGCUUUGGGGAGAAGAUGCAUCACAACCAGGUAUGUUCAUGUCUGUGAUCAAAAGUGUGAAGGAUCUUCUGCUCAUUCCUCAGGGUGCAAAUUAUGGAUUUGCCUAACGUGUCAUCGAAAAAUCCUUUGUGGACAACUGCCCGAAGAGAGCGUUGCUAACAACAUGCAUUUGGUGGACGUUCCAAAUCAACUGAAAUGUCUCAACUCCUUGGAACAACAUCUCAUUGCACGUAACAUUCCUUUUAUGAAAUUACUGUGCCUUCCUCGUGGUAAACAACAUGGAUGCCAUGGCCCUGUAGUUUGUGUCCCAGUUAAUGUCACAGGUGUGUCCAAUAUCCUUCCACGAAAUGAAUGUGACGACAAGAUGAUAAGGAUAAAACUGAAACGCAAGUUAACCUACAAAGGGCAUUAUGAGUAUAAGUAUGUACACACUGAUCGUGUUCGAAAUGCUCUGAAAUAUUUAAUCCAGUUCAAUAAGUGGUUCAGUGAUGUGGAGAUUAAUCAGCAGUGGAUCAACUCUUUGAACGAACCAGAAGAAAAUGUAGUAGAUGAAAUGGAGCAACAAGACAUAGUUGAAAAGAUUGACGAAAAUGACCUUGAUGAACAGCAAGAGGAAGACCUUACCUACAUCAAAGAGCAAAGUGGUCUUUUGUCAGAUACGUCAUUGCAACCUGUGGACAUCGGUUCAGAAGUAAUUGAUCAGCAUUUCCAGGAUGUAUUAAAUCUGGCACCUGCUGAAGGUAACAGUCCUGUUAGUUUGUUAUCCGAUAGGUCUAACGAAGCAAAAUGUUUCCCUGUUCUGUAUCCAACUGGUGGUCCGACAUUUCAUGAUAAGAGGGAUGUAAAAAUAACACUGUCGAGAUACUUGAAUGCAAGAAUCCUCAAUGCGGAUGGACGUUUUGCACGAAGCACAGACUUCAUUUUCUAUGCACAGUAUCUGUCGGAGAUUGAUCAAGUUGUAUCCAAUGUUUCAAUUGCUUUGCGCAAAGGAUCUGAGAAGAGUUUGUUGACUGAAGUGACAUCAGAUGUACUAACAAACCCGGACUCGUUAUCUAAAAUCUUGAAUUUUGAUGAAGGAUACAAGUUUUUGAGACCAAUCCGUGGAACACCUCCAUAUUGGCAGUCUACUCAAAAGGACCUUUUUGCACUUGUAAGACAGCUAGGUAUUCCAACUUUCUUUGCAUCCUUUAGUUCUGCGGAUCUCAGAUGGCCAGAAAUGAUUAGUACCAUAAUCAAACAAGAAGGGAAAAAUGUGAAAGCAGAUGAACUUGACUGGUCUGAAAAAUGUGGAUUGAUCAGACGAAACCCAGUGACUGCUGCAAGAAUGUUUGAUCAUAGGUGGCAUUGUUUUCUGAGAGAUGUAAUCAUGUCUUCAGCUCAACCGAUCGGCAAGAUAGUAGAUUACUUUUAUCGUGUAGAGUUUCAACAGCGUGGAUCUCCUCAUGUUCACUGUCUGUUUUGGGUUGAAAAUGCCCCAACGUUAAAUGAAGACAAUGAAGAAAACGAUGGUUUGGUUGCUAGUUUCAUUGAUCGGUACAUCACCUGUGAGACCCCAAGCGAGGAUGAAACUGAUCUGUUUGAGAUUGUCAACGGUGUUCAGAAGCACAGUGUCAGACAUUCAAAGACAUGUCGUAAGAAAAAGACAGUUUGCAGAUUUAAUUUUCCACGACCCCCAUCAAGUCGUACCUUUAUUACAAGAGGUGGUAGUCGAGACGAUUUGAAAAGCGGUGAUGGAAAAGAUACUGCACGUACAGUUUUAGAAAAAGUGAAAAAGGCUUUAACAGCUUCUGAUAUGGAUUAUGACUCUACUGAUGCAUUUUUUGAAUCCAUUGGUAUUAACCAAGCUCUCUUUGAGAAAGUGUAUGCACAGUGUUCCAAAAAGAAAUCCGUUGUCCUUAAAAGAAGUCCAAAAGACGUCUGGGUGAACCAGUAUAAUAAACAUUUACUGCGUGCCUGGCAAGGCAACAUGGAUAUCCAGUACGUCACUGAUGCUUACUCCGUAGUGGUUUACAUUAUCAGUUACAUCACAAAAGCAGAACAAGAAAUGGGAUUGUUGCUGCAACGUGCGCAAAACGAAGCCAUGAAUGGAAACCUUGAAGCGAGAUCAUCACUGAAGAUGCUUGGUAGUGUAUAUCUUCACAACAGAGAAGUUUCUGCUCAAGAGGCUGUGUAUCGUCUGACUGGUAUGCACUUGAAGGAAUGUUCUCGUAAAGUCCAGUUUAUUCCAAUUGGAUUGAAUCCUGUAAAGAUGAGUUUGCCUCUUCGUGUCAUCAAAAACAAAGUUGAUCAGUCUGGUGAAGAAGCUAGCUUUUGGAUGACUAGUCUGGUUGACCGAUACAAGAAUAGGCCAAACACGGAAGAGUUUGAGACCCAAUGUCUUGCAAGUUUUUGCUCUGAAAACAGGAUCUUGUCAAAAUCGGAGGUUUCUUCACAAAAAAAGUCUUCUGAAGACAAGGUGAUCAAGCUUAACAACGACUGUGGUUAUAUGAUGAAGAGAACUCGAACUGACCCUGCUGUUGUUCGAUAUCCGAGAUUUUCUCCCAAAAAAGAUCCAGAAAAGUACUUUCAUUCAUUGUUGCAACUUUUCUUGCCACAUUAUGAAGAUUGUCAGCUGAAGCCUGAGAGUUUUAGCACUUAUGAGGAAUUCUACAACAGUGGUGCUGUGAAAUGUGGGAGAAAUGUGACUCAAGUCAAAUGUAUUGUUGAUGCUAAUCGAGCACUCUUUGAAAAGGAAAGUGACAAAAUUGAUCGAGCUCAACAGCUUUUGGAGCAAGGUGUUGAUUUGGAAGAUGCUUGGGCUGCGUUAUGUCCUGAAACUGAAAAGGAACAUCACGAGUGCUUAGAAAUAAGGAAGAGUAAUACAAUUCCUGAUGAAGAUGAUUCUGAGUGUUCUAUUCCAGAUCUUGUAGCGAACCCUCGAACUCCAUACAGUAUUGAAACCAAUCAGGCUGGAAUGUCUAGAGAAGAGGCAUUAUGUUUACUGCGAUCAUUAAAUGCACAACAAUCUGCAAUCUUUUACAAAGUGCGGAAAUGGUGUUUAGAGAAACUUCUUGGUGAAAACCCUGAACCAUUUCACUUGUUUGUCACUGGUGGAGCAGGCACAGGCAAGAGUCAUUUAAUCAAAGCAAUCUACUAUGAAUCUUCCAGACUUUUAUCUCAGCUGUCCGAAAACCCUGAUGAUAGAAGUGUGAUUUUAACUGCGUCAACCGGAGUGGCCAGUUUUCAAAUUGGUGCUUCAACAAUCCAUAAUACCUUUUCCAUAGGUGCCAAUGUCAAACUGCCAUAUCAGCCCCUAAGUGAUGACAAAAUCAAUUCACUGCGUGCAAAACUGGGAGGUUUGCAGAUUCUGAUCAUUGAUGAGGUGUCUAUGGUUGACCAUCACCUUUUGUCUUAUGUUCAUGGUAGAUUGAGACAAAUUAAGCAAACUGGUGACUACUCAAUUUUUGGAAGAGUCAGUUUGGUCUGUGUUGGUGAUUUUUAUCAGCUACCGCCAGUCAAGGGAAUUCCCCUGUACGUUGAUCCAAAAGGAGUGAAUCUUUGGGAUACCAACUUUGAAAUUGCUGAACUAACACAAGUUGUCAGGCAACAAGAUGCAUCUUUUGCUGAAAUGUUAAAUCGUCUGAGAGUUCAUAAAAAGAACGAAACUCUAAGCCCAAAUGACAUCAACAUGUUGAAGCAACGUGAAACUGGUGAAGAAUGCGAUGCUAUUCAUAUAUUCCCUACAAAUGCUCAGGUUGAUGAGUACAAUAUACAGAAACUUAAUGAGCGUUGUCCUGAGGCAAUCACUAUUCACGCUAGAGACUUUGCCAGAAAUCCAGAAACUGGAAGAAUAGAAAGGAAGGUUGGAUUUCAUGCAAAAGUUUUCAACUCUUGUUUGGACAAAUGUGUUUCCUUGGGUGUUGGUGCCAGAGUAAUGCUUAGGAAAAAUGUUGAUGUUUCUGAUGGACUUGUCAAUGGAGCCUGUGGCACAGUUGUCCACAUAAGCAGAAAACAAAGACGUGAUGAUGAUGAUGAAGAUGAUGACUUUCCAUCAGCUAUCCAUGUUGAAUUUGAUGAUCCAAAUGUUGGUAAAGUUCAGAGAUCGAAGCUGCGACAGAAAUAUUCUCCAAAUUCAACUGUUAUUGAAGUGGAAGAAGAUCAAGUCUCAAACGAUGGUGGUUUAAGACGUCAGUUUCCACUUAAAUUGGCAUGGGCAUGCACAGUUCAUAAAGUGCAAGGACUCACAGUAGAUAAAGCGGUCGUCUCACUUGACAAGGUAUUUUCUCCGGGACAAGCAUACGUUGCACUGAGUCGUGUGAGAACCCUCGACGGACUAAUAAUUAAUAACUUCAAAGACUCGGUCAUAUAUUGUAAUGAGAAAAUUGACUCAGCUAUGAAAAACAUGCCCCGACUUGCUUUAGAAAAUUACAGUUUUGUAAAGACACCUGGCGUGUUUACAAUUGCUCUUCAUAAUGUACAAAGUCUUCGAGCUCAUGUUCAGGAUCUUCAAGUUCACAGACAGAUAAUGAAUGCAGAUUGCAUCUGUUUAACGGAAACGUGGCUAAAAGUUGAAGACCAAGUACAGAUUCCAGGAUUUGUUUUUAAGAGCAAUCCAAGAGCUAAAUGUUAUGACAACAGUAUUCCACUUUUCACUGAUUUAAAACAACAAAGAGGAGGUGGAGUUGGACUAUUCUGUUGUGAAAGCAUUCAUUUUAAUGUCAGGGUUCCAGAACCUUGUAACUUGGAAUGUAUAUACUUUGCAGUUCCACAUCUAAGUUUGAAUGCUGCUUUGCUGUACAGACCUAAUUCAUAUCCCCUUAAUCUGUUUCAACAAAAUAUGUUGCAUGUUUUUGAUGAGCUGGAGAAACAGUCAGGAAAGAAAGUGAUUAUGGGAGACUUCAAUGAAGACAUCUUGACAUCAUCUACAAUUGGUACACUAAUGGAACUACAUGGAUACAGUCAACAUGUGCAACACCCUACCACUGAAAAAGGUACACUGAUAGACCAUGUCUAUGUUAAAGAUGCAGAAAAUUUCUCUGUUGAAAUUGUGCAAACUUAUUACAGUUACCACCAAGCAGUCCUUAUUUCACUGAGGUAAAAAUUAAUGUGUGUGAUUAUGUAAUGAAAUCUGUAUAACCUGCAUUAUUUGUUUCUUGUCUGUGCUCUUACUUGUUCAAUGUUCAUCCUGAGCUUUCAACUGGCAUACAACUGCAGGGCAAGUGUACAACUGGAGACGGUAUGUUCUAAGUCUAUCUAUAUCUAAAUGAAUAACUCUUAUAAUGAUCCAUCAGUUGAAUAUGUACAGCUGUUCCAUGUUAUGAUUGAAGUAUUAUCUGAAGGUAAUCCAUUUUAUCAAUGCAACACUCUGAAAUGAGAAUUGUAUCACUGUAUUGUCUGUUCUGUUUUUGUGUCCAUACGAUAUGAGCGCUAUCCUGAGAUUCCAACAUGGUCCGAGUCCAGUUAAUCCAGCCUGUAAUUCAAACAAGUGAUCAUCAUUUUCAACCCAACAUCUCCCAUAAUUGCUCUUCUUUCUUGAGCUAGUAAGCUUCACCCAGCCAAGUCAUUCUAAGCCAUCCAAAUCAUAAUGGAUGCUUCCAAACAUUAUAGGAAGCAUCCACAAAGACUGCCUGCAUCCAUCCAUUUGUCUCCUAAUAUCACAAUUAAGUCAAUGGAACAACACAAAAUUGGUUUGUGCAUCAAGUCUCACUAACUACUGUCAAAGAUUUCUGCAAUAUGUUAAACUUCAAACUUCCGCCUUAUCCAUUAUGAUUCUCCACUCCAUGAACUGUGUUUAUGAAGAAGCACACAACCAAUCAAAAGGUUUGUGCAUCAAAACCCAAUAUCUCCUGUCCACUACUCCCAAAAGAUUUCUGCAAUUUACUACACAUCAAACUUCCUUGUCCAAUAUGACUCUCCACCCAAUGAACUGUUUUUAUGAAGAGGCACACAACCAAUCAAAAGGUUUGUGCAAUACGUUACACUUCAAACUUCCACCUUAUCCAUUAUGAUUCUCCGCUCCACAAACUGUUUUUAUGAAGAGGCACACAACCAAUCAAAAGGUUUGUGCAAUACGUUACACUUCAAACUUCCAUCUUAUCCACUACGAUUCUCCACCCCAUGAACUGUUUUUAUGAAGAGGCACACAACCAAUCAAAAGGUUUGUGCAAUACGUUACACUUCAAACUUCCAUCUUAUCCACUAUGAUUCUCCGCUCCAUGAACUGUUUUUAUGAAGAGGCACACAACCAAUCAAAAGGUUUGUGCAAUAUGUUACACUUCAAACUUCCACCUUAUCCAUUAUGAUACUCCGCUCCAUGAACUGUUUUUAUGAAGAGGCACACAACCAAUCAAAAGGUUUGUGCAAUACGUUACACUUCAAACUUCCAUCUUAUCCACUAUGAUUCUCCACCCCAUGAACUGUUUUUAUGAAGAGGCACACAACCAAUCAAAAGGUUUGUGCAUGAAAACCCAAUAUCUACGGUCCACUACUCCAAAAAGAUUUCUGCAAUGUUACACUUCAAACUUCCGCCUUAUCCAUUAUGAUUGUCCGCUCCAUGAACUGUUUUUAUGAAGAGGCACACAACCAAUCAAAAGGUUUGUGCAAUACGUUACACUUCAAACUUCCGCCUUAUCCAUUAUGAUUCUCCGCUCCACGAACUGUUUUUAUGAAGAGGCACAAAACCAAUACAACGGUACAUUGAAUUUGAAUACAAAAUCAUUGUUCAAGUAUCUUCAGAAAAUGUCCCGGCAAAACUCUAAACCGAUGCAGGCAGUCAAUAGUCAAAGAUAUCACAAAUGCAUAACCACAAAAGUAACACAAUUCUAUAUGAAAUGUUGGAUGGAUGGCUUGUAUUAUAUUUGGCCUAUGUACAGCAAACUUAGAUGCCAGCCAAAGGAGGAUGGCUUGCCCCUGCUGAGUCUGGUUCCUCCCAAGGUUUCUCCCUAUACCUCUCUGCUGAUGAUCCUCUUCACUAAUUUAGGGAGUUUUUCCUUGCCACUGUUGCCUUCUGGCUUGCUCACUGGGGUUUUAAGGCACAAUAUUUUCAAUGUAAAUUGUUUGUAAAGAACAAUAAAUACAUGAUGAAUUAGAA
This is an RNA transcript of Carassius gibelio (silver crucian carp), 10242 nucleotides long. RefSeq lists it as uncharacterized. Lineage: Eukaryota; Metazoa; Chordata; Actinopteri; Cypriniformes; Cyprinidae. The record is from RefSeq and is a predicted model, not a curated record. The transcript is spliced from 15 exons.